This 254-nucleotide ribosomal RNA is filed under the name uncultured bacterium. RNAcentral describes it as "partial 16S ribosomal RNA". It matches the Rfam family "Bacterial small subunit ribosomal RNA", at positions 524 to 776 of the family's 1533-position model. The record is from RNAcentral.
UACGGGGGGAGCAAGCGUUGUUCGGAUUUACUGGGCGUAAAGGGCGCGUAGGCGGUCGUGACAAGUCACUUGUGAAAUCUCCGGGCUUAACUCGGAAAGGUCAAGUGAUACUGUCGGACUAGAGUACAGAAGGGGCAACUGGAAUUCUCGGUGUAGUGGUGAAAUGCGUAGAGAUCGGCAGGAACACCCAGGGGGAAACCAGUCGACUGGGCAGCACCUGACGCUGAGGUGCGAGAGCGUGGGGAGCGAACCGG